CACGUAGGCGGCCUUGUAAGUCAGGGGUGAAAUCCCACGGCUCAACCGUGGAACUGCCUUUGAAACUGCAGGGCUUGAAUCCUGGAGAGGGUGGCGGAAUUCCUGGUGUAGGAGUGAAAUCCGUAGAUAUCAGGAGGAACACCGGUGGCGAAGGCGGCCACCUGGACAGGUAUUGACGCUGAGGUGCGAAAGUGUGGGGAGCAAACA
This 207-nucleotide ribosomal RNA is filed under the name uncultured Desulfomicrobium sp. Its description in RNAcentral is "partial 16S ribosomal RNA". It matches the Rfam family "Bacterial small subunit ribosomal RNA", at positions 568 to 774 of the family's 1533-position model. Lineage: Bacteria; Pseudomonadati; Thermodesulfobacteriota; Desulfovibrionia; Desulfovibrionales; Desulfomicrobiaceae. The record is from RNAcentral.